CUUUACUGUAGCCUGGAAUUGGGUUCGGGCUUUAACUGCGCAGGAUAGGUGGGAGGCUAUGAUCCAAUCCUUGUGGGGAUUGGGGAGCCAACGGUGAGAUACCACUCUGUUAAGGCUAGAACUCUAACCUUCACCCGUAAUCCGGGGAGGGAACAGUUUCAGGUGGGCAGUUUGACUGGGGCGGUCGCCUCCUAAAUGGUAACGGAGGCGCGCAAAGGUUCUCUCAGGCUGGUUGGAAAUCAGCCGUAGAGUGUAAAAGCACAAGAGAGCUUGACUGUGAGACGAACAUGUCGAGCAGGGGCGAAAGUCGGCUUUAGUGAUCCGACGGCGCUGAGUGGAAGGGCCGUCGCUCAACGGAUAAAAGUUA
Molecule: ribosomal RNA, 367 nt
Filed under: uncultured organism
Description: bacterial LSU rRNA
Rfam family: Bacterial large subunit ribosomal RNA
Source: RNAcentral